This 1178-nucleotide long non-coding RNA is filed under the name Sus scrofa (pig). Its description in RNAcentral is "lncRNA (ENSSSCG00015027746.1)". The record is from RNAcentral. Lineage: Eukaryota; Metazoa; Chordata; Mammalia; Artiodactyla; Suidae.
AGCGCCUGGCGUAGCCGGGCUCGGCAGCUCGGGCUCUCUCCGGCUCUCUCCAGACUCCACGGCCAGUAGUUUGCGGCAUCGGGAGGAGCAGCAGCAGCAGUAGCGGCCGCGGGGAGCGCAGUGGGGAGACGGCCGAGCGGGCACAGACGGCAGCACGGCUCCCGCGCACCAUGCCCGGCUUGCUUGGGGGGCACUGGCACCCGCGUGCAUAACCUGGCACGGGCCCUUGGCGCGUUGCGCUCCUCAACAUUCUGGCUGAGCAGAUUCAUCGGAGAUCAGAAACCUCCCAUCCCUGCUCGCUCACACUCCCCACUCAUAUUCCCCACACCACACACCCGCUCUUCUUUUCUCUCACACAUUCACACACAGCCCAAGACCGAGAGCGCGAGACCGACCUCGCGAGUGCGCGAGCGCCGGGGAGGGAAUAAGCCCAACGCAGCGCGGCCAGCGCCUCUCCAGGAAGAUGGAAUCAAGAAGCUCUCGCAAGUAGACAAAUUGCCAUCGCCCGGUUUUCACAAACUUGACGUGGAGACUCGGGCGGCGCUGAUAACUUUGAUUUCCGAGACGCAAACGCCCGCAGUCCAACUGCUCUGUGGGGGUGAUUCCGUGCCCACCUCGGAUCCGGGACAGACGCGCCCCUCAAGCUUUCCGAAGCCAACCACAGUGCAAGGGAGCGCCCUCUCGUCUCCGCAGCCUCUCUCCCCUCCCCCUUCCUCUGCCGGCUGGGGGACUGCCAUCCUGCUCAGCCAGAUAGUCCGGCGGCUGCGGCGCUUGACAGCAACUCAAACUCCCUCUUGCAUUUCCCUUUUCUCCCCAGUAGGCCUCGAAAAGGCCAGCGUGGCCCUCCCGGACCCCGGAGGGCGCGUUCCAGGCGGGUCCUCUCUCCGCAGUGAGCCAGGAGCACUGGGGGGAGGUCCUUGCGCAUGCCAGGUGCACCGACAACGCUCUCGCCAGCCCCAACGCCGCUGCGCCGCGGCGGGCCGGGGAGUGCCUGAGAGGCUGUACCGCUACUGCAUACCCCGAUUUCGCUCCCAGUGCGGUCCAGACUUAGCAGCUCGUCGACUCGGCCGCUCAGACGUCGUCCUACCAGCAGCCCUGCGCCGCUUCGGCCAGUCGCGCCCGGCUAACUUUGAAGGGGGAAAACUGAGUAGCCGGGCUGGAGGGAGGGGGCUCGGGGC